CGAUAACAACACAACAAUAUCAGUAUCUCAUGCUAUUGCCCGAACCCAUUCGGGCAUUUUUU
This is a non-coding RNA of Escherichia coli O157:H7 str. Sakai, 62 nucleotides long. Lineage: Bacteria; Pseudomonadati; Pseudomonadota; Gammaproteobacteria; Enterobacterales; Enterobacteriaceae. The record is from Rfam.